GAAGGGUUCUAGGGUAGAUUCUUGCUGAGGGGCUAGAGUUAGGCCUGACAGAUGUACCAAUUUCUUGUUAAGUAACUAGUCUCUCAGAGAGCCACUUCUCACAUACAGACAGACUGGAAGCAGAGGGGGGAAAAAAAAACCUCAGGUAGAGAAAAGUAUUCCAAAGCUUAAAGUAGCUUAAGGAGAGCAGCAAAAAUAGGGAGGCAGAUCCCCUCCCAGUCCCCCAUCACCCCCCACCCAUUGUGGUACUGAAGAUAGAACCCAGGGAUGACCAAGUAUUCUUGCACUAGUUCUUUUUGUUUUCCUCUUUGUUAUACUGGAGAUUGAAUCCAGUCUUGUGUUUGCAAGGAAAAUUCUCUAGCACUUAAGGUAUACUCCCAGCUCCCCCAUCCUUUCUUUUGACAGGGUCAUGCUAUGUAGCCUAGUUUGGAUAUGAUCUAACUAUUCUCCUGCACCUUCUGAGUAGCUGGGAUUAUAGGAGCAUGCCAUCAUGCCCAGCUAAGAUAAUUUGGAUUGAGUUUCUGUUAUUUGCACCUAAGAGUCUAAAAUGAUAUAUCUAAUUCCUAGCACAUAUACCAAAAAAAUAAGAAGUGGUUUCAAAAGAGUAGGAGCAAAACACAGAGCCUAAAAUAUUACAGCACAAAGGAGAUAACCAUUAAAUAAGAAAAAUGAUUGACUGACGGCUCAGAUAAGAAGAAUCCUGACUGAGGUGAAGAACUGGGCUUCCAUCUCGACCU
Molecule: long non-coding RNA, 737 nt
Organism: Perognathus longimembris pacificus (Pacific pocket mouse)
Lineage: Eukaryota; Metazoa; Chordata; Mammalia; Rodentia; Heteromyidae
Exons: 3
Source: RefSeq, a predicted model, not a curated record